GGGCUGGGGCUGAGUGGCAGAGUGCUUGCCUAGCAUGUAUGAGGCACUGGGUUCGAUCCUCAGCACCACA
RNAcentral lists this transfer RNA (70 nucleotides) under Marmota monax (woodchuck). Its description in RNAcentral is "tRNA.Ala". The record is from RNAcentral. Lineage: Eukaryota; Metazoa; Chordata; Mammalia; Rodentia; Sciuridae.